GUGCCAGCAGCCGCGGUAACACGAACUGCGCGAACGUUAUUCGGAAUCACUGGGCUUAAAGAGUCCGUAGGCGGCUCGGAAGGUGGGGUGUGAAAUCCCACGGCUCAACCGUGGAAUUGCGCUCCAAACCGCCGAGCUGGAGGGAGAUAGAGGAGAGCGGAACUGAUGGUGGAGCGGUGAAAUGCGUUGAUAUCAUCAGGAACACCGGUGGCGAAAGCGGCUCUCUGGGUCUCUUCUGACGCUGAGGGACGAAAGCUAGGGGAGCGAACGGGAUUAGAAACCCCAGUAGUCC
Molecule: ribosomal RNA, 292 nt
Filed under: uncultured bacterium
Lineage: Bacteria
Description: partial 16S ribosomal RNA
Rfam family: Bacterial small subunit ribosomal RNA
Source: RNAcentral